GUCUCCCUAUGUUGUCCUUUCCAAGGCUGCAUAAUAUUCCAUUUUAUGGAUGGACCGCAUUUAGCUUAUCCAUUCAUCCAUUGAUGGACAUUUGGCUUGCUUCCACUUUUGGCUAUUGUGAAUAAUGCUGCUGUGAACACAGAUGUGCAAAUACCUCUUCAAGACCUGGCUUUCAGUUAUUCUGCAUAUAUGCCCAGAAGUGGAAUUCUGAAUCAUGCUGCUUUACUCUUUUUAAUAGCUGCCUGGUACUCCAUAGAAUGUUUGUACCAUAAUUUACUAUUUUAAAUAGAAUUCUUUACGCUGCCCAUAACAUAACAUAAGUUCCGUGGUGUCUGGCCCGCGUGAGAGCCAUGUGAACAGUAGCCACAUGGACUAGUCAUUGGAACUGGACCCAAAGCCAGGCCUGAGCAUCCCGCUCAACUCACAUACACAUCCUUUCUUCUUCCAUUACACAGAAACCAGCCGUUGCGUGCAGGGUGAGCACAUGUGCUAGGCCAGGCUGCUUGCGUGCCAGGCUCUGGAGUGAGUUAUCUCAUUACUGUAGACUGGGGGUAGUGCUGUACAAUGAGUAUAAUGCUUCAUGCAUUUCUAUAGGGACUACUUGUACAGUUCACUCAGUGCACAUAGCGUAAGCACUGGCACAUGGAGAAGGUUCCAUCUGGGAGAGCUUUUACUGUUAUUCAGUAGAGAGGUCUGAGUCUUUCUAGAGCCCAGUGAUUCAUAAAGGUAAAUUGGAAGGGUUUGGCCAGGCUCAGUUUAGACAAAUUUUCAUCACCAAUGAGGCUGAGCAGACUCGGAGGAGGCUUUGAGGUCACUUUUCAGAAGAGGGAUCUGAGGCUCAGAGAGGCUGAGAGACUUAGCCAAGGACACACAGUGAAUAAAUGGUUCCAGCUAGAGUCCAGUUCUCUCCACUCCUCAUCUAGUGUCUUAUCUACCACCCUGGAAACUUGCAGGAUCUUGGGAAUUCGCAGGCUGUUGGCUUACCCAGGGUCCACAGAGUUGAU
This 1004-nucleotide long non-coding RNA is filed under the name Homo sapiens (human). RNAcentral's name for it is "HSALNT0318013". The record is from RNAcentral. Lineage: Eukaryota; Metazoa; Chordata; Mammalia; Primates; Hominidae.